AGUACAGCACUGCAGAAACCAUGCUGUGGAGCACAGGGCUGGUAAAGACUGUGCCAACCCCACAGGCAGUGAACCUGAAGGCACCUCGAAGUGGUAGUUGUUUCCUCAACUGCAGUCACAGUGUCUGCAUGUCCAUUGCAGGGAGGAACAAUGCCAUCACUAGUGAAAUGUCACUGAUACCUACAGUGUAAUCUCCAGAGUCUGUAGCCUUUCAUCAGCAAUGUGAUUGUUAAGAGAAGAGGAGGAGGAGGAGGAGGAGACUAGCACAUGGCUGAGCUAGCCCCAGCAGCGGAAAGCCCAUGAAAAGGGGAAAAAAGAAAACUCAGCUUAUGAAAAGGAUCAGACUUUAAACUGAUGGAAAACCAGUGCCUCACCUCCAUCUAUUAAGUGGACAGAUGAUAAAGCAAUACAGGCCACAACUGAUGUUUGCCCCAUAAAAUAAACCAAGCAAUGUAC
This is a long non-coding RNA of Neopsephotus bourkii (Bourke's parrot), 456 nucleotides long. RefSeq lists it as uncharacterized. The record is from RefSeq and is a predicted model, not a curated record. The transcript has 2 exons. Lineage: Eukaryota; Metazoa; Chordata; Aves; Psittaciformes; Psittacidae.